AAAAACUUUUUUAACUCUAAAUUUUAUAAAGCGUGAAUCCUUGAAAUUUACAAAAGCCUGACAAAAAAUUUAGCUUUUUUUUUCCCUCAAAAAUUUUUUGAAGAUUCCAAGGAAGAGUUAGCUGGUGGCUGGUGGGUCGUGGGCUACCGAGUCCAGUUAUUUACUUGGGUAAAAUGUGUGCCUGUAGCUGCAUCAUCUGCGACUCCGACUCCGACUGAGGAAGCGCGCGGAAUACAACUGACCCUUUAACGAUCCGAAAGGACGAGGAUUCAGAAGCUAACCCAGAUCUCCAAGAUCUCCUCUUGGUACCCUAGAGAUCCCUGAUAAACCACCGAUUUUGACGCAAUGGCCAAACUUGAACAGCUAGACGAUGAACCGAAGCAGCUCAAUAUCAACAUCAAAAAGAAGAAAAGAAAUCAUGGGUCAACCACUUUCUUCGUUUUUGUGGAUUAUUUAUUCCUCUUUAUCUUCCUUGGAUUCCUCUGCUUCAUUCUCUUCAAGAUGGUUGGAAUCUAAUUUCAUCCCUAUCAGUCUCUUUCUUAAAUUCCUUUUUACCAGGAUAUGUUUCUUAUUAGACAUUCAGAUAUCUAGUAGGAUGUUCCAAGUUCCUACUCUAGAGGAUUUGCAGUUGUUGUCUUUGUUUUCUUGACAAUAUCUGUCUUCAUGGUGAGAAUUUAUGUCUUUGUUAGAUUCUUGACAAUCUCUGUAUUCUCUUUUAGCAGAUAUACUUUUUACAUGUAUGCCUCCACAUGUAGAACCUUAUUUGCGAUUUGGGAUCUUGUGUUACUGUUGAUAUUCUAUUUCAUCUUUGGUUUACAAAAAUAAACUAAACGUUAUAAGUAAAA
Molecule: long non-coding RNA, 845 nt
Organism: Manihot esculenta (cassava)
Lineage: Eukaryota; Viridiplantae; Streptophyta; Magnoliopsida; Malpighiales; Euphorbiaceae
Exons: 2
Source: RefSeq, a predicted model, not a curated record